CGCGUAGGCGGAUGUUUAAGUCAGAGGUGAAAGCCCAGGGCUCAACCUUGGAACUGCCUUUGAUACUGGACAUCUUGAGUAUGGGAGAGGUGAGUGGAACUCCGAGUGUAGAGGUGAAAUUCGUAGAUAUUCGGAAGAACACCAGUGGCGAAGGCGACUCACUGGCCCAUUACUGACGCUGAGGCGCGAAAGCGUGGGGAGCAAACA
Molecule: ribosomal RNA, 207 nt
Filed under: uncultured bacterium
Lineage: Bacteria
Description: partial 16S ribosomal RNA
Rfam family: Bacterial small subunit ribosomal RNA
Source: RNAcentral